GGGUUUGAUUAUGGCUCAGAUUGAACGCUGGCGGGAUGCUUUACAUGCAAGUCGAACGGCAGCACGGACUUCGGUCUGGUGGCGAGUGGCGAACGGGUGAGUAAUGUAUCGGAACGUGCCUAGUAGCGGGGGAUAACUACGCGAAAGCGUAGCUAAUACCGCAUACGCCCUUCGGGGAAAGCGGGGACCUUCGGGCCUCGCACUAUUAGAGCGGCCGAUAUCGGAUUGGCUAGUUGGUGGGGUAACGGCUCGCAAGGCGACGAUCCGUAGCGCUGGUUUGAGAGGACGACCAGCCACACUGGGAUUGAGACACGGCCCAGACUCCUACGGGAGGCAGCAGUGGGAAUUUUGGACAAUGGGGAAGCCCUGAUCCAACCAUCCCGCGUGUGCGAUGAAGGCCUUCGGGUUGUAAAGCACUUUUGGCAGGAAAGAAACGGCACGGGAUAAUACCCCGUGCAACUGACGGUACCUGCAGAAUAAGCACCGGCUAACUUCGUGCCAGCAGCCGCGGUAAUACGUAGGGUGCAAAAGCGUUAAUCGGAAUUACUGGGCGUAAAGCGUGCGCAGGCGGUUCGGAAAGAAAGAUGUGAAAUCCCAGAGCUUAACUUUGGAACUGCAUUUUUAACUACCGAGCUAGAGUGUGUCAGAGGAGGUGGAAUUCCGCGUGUAGCAGUGAAAUGCGUAGAUAUGCGGAGGAACACCGAUGGCGAAGGCAGCCUCUGGGAUAACACUGACGCUCAUGCACGAAAGCGUGGGGGAGCAAACAGGAUUAGAUACCCUGGUAGUCCACGCCCUAAACGAUGUCAACUAGCUGUUGGGGCCUUCGGGCCUUGGUAGCGCAGCUAACGCGUGAAGUUGACCGCCUGGGGAGUACGGUCGCAAGAUUAAAACUCAAAGGAAUUGACGGGGACCCGCACAAGCGGUGGAUGAUGUGGAUUAAUUCGAUGCAACGCGAAAAACCUUACCUACCCUUGACAUGUCUGGAAUCCCGAAGAGAUUUGGGAGUGCUCGCAAGGGAACCGGAACACAGGUGCUGCAUGGCUGUCGUCAGCUCGUGUCGUGAGAUGUUGAGUUUGAAAUCCGCAACGAGCGCAACCCUUGUCAUUAGUUGCUACGAAAGGGCACUCUAAUGAGCUGCCGGUGACAAACCGGAGGAAGGUGGGGAUGACGUCAAGUCCUCAUGGCCCUUAGCAGGUAGGGCUUCACACGUCAUACAAUGGUCGGGACAGAGGGUCGCCAACCCACUGAGGAGCCAAUCCCAGAAACCCGAUCGUAGUCCGGAUCGCAGUCUGCAACUCGACUGCGUGAAGUCGGAAUCGCUAAUAAUCGCGGAUCAGCAUGUCGCGGUGAAUACGUUCCCGGGUGCAUACACACCGCCCGUCACACCAUGGGAGUGGGUUUUACCAGAAGUAGUUAGCCUAACCGUAAAGGAGGGCGAUUACCACGGUAGAGGAUUCAUGACUGGGGUGAAGUCGUAACAAGGUAG
This 1486-nucleotide ribosomal RNA is filed under the name uncultured Bordetella sp. RNAcentral describes it as "partial 16S-23S ribosomal RNA intergenic spacer". It matches the Rfam family "Bacterial small subunit ribosomal RNA". Lineage: Bacteria; Pseudomonadati; Pseudomonadota; Betaproteobacteria; Burkholderiales; Alcaligenaceae. The record is from RNAcentral.